GUAGGGAAUAUUGGGCAAUGGAGGCAACUCUGACCCAGCCAUGCCGCGUGCAGGAUGACGGCCCUCUGGGUUGUAAACUGCUUUUAUACGGGAAGAAAAAAUACUACGUGUAGUAUACUGACGGUACCGUAAGAAUAAGGAUCGGCUAACUCCGUGCCAGAAGCCGCGGUAAUACGGAGGAUCCAAGCGUUGUCCGGAUUUAUUGGGUUUAAAGGGUGCGUAGGCGGAUCUUUAAGUCAGUGGUGAAAGCCUGCAGCUUAACUGUAGAAUUGCCAUUGAAACUGAAGAUCUUGAAUGUGGUUAAAGUAGGCGGAAUGUAUCAUGUAGCGGUGAAAUGCUUAGAUAUGAUACAGAACACCGAUAGCGAAGGCAGCUUGCUGAACCAUUAAUGACGCUGAGGCACGAAAGCGUGGGGAGCGAACAGGAUUAGAUACCCGGGUAGUCC
This 445-nucleotide ribosomal RNA is filed under the name uncultured bacterium. Its description in RNAcentral is "bacterial SSU rRNA". It matches the Rfam family "Bacterial small subunit ribosomal RNA", at positions 354 to 796 of the family's 1533-position model. The record is from RNAcentral.